This 77-nucleotide transfer RNA is filed under the name Burkholderia contaminans. RNAcentral describes it as "tRNA-Gln". It matches the Rfam family "tRNA". From Rfam's summary of the family: Transfer RNA (tRNA) molecules are approximately 80 nucleotides in length. The record is from RNAcentral. Lineage: Bacteria; Pseudomonadati; Pseudomonadota; Betaproteobacteria; Burkholderiales; Burkholderiaceae.
AGGGGCGUCGUCAAGAGGCCAAAGACACCGGGUUUUGAUCCCGGCAUUCGAAGGUUCGAAUCCUUCCGCCCCCGCCA